Molecule: transfer RNA, 113 nt
Organism: Aspergillus bombycis
Lineage: Eukaryota; Fungi; Ascomycota; Eurotiomycetes; Eurotiales; Aspergillaceae
Rfam family: tRNA
About the family: Transfer RNA (tRNA) molecules are approximately 80 nucleotides in length. Their secondary structure includes four short double-helical elements and three loops (D, anti-codon, and T loops).
Source: Rfam
AGCAAGGUGGCCGAGUGGUCUAAGGCGCACGGUUCAGGUAUACCUGACCAUCAGAACUUCUCAGAAGUUUCCGUGUCAUUAAUUUGGCGUGGGUUCGAAUCCCACCCUUGUCA